GGGAGUAGCAAUACAACUGGUGGCGACCGGCGCACGGGUGAGUAACGCGUAUGCAACCUAUCUAUCAGAGGGGAAUAACCCGGCGAAAGUCGGACUAAUACCGCAUAAAACAGGGGCACCGCAUGGUGCUAUUUGUUAAAGAAAUUCGCUGAUAGAUGGGCAUGCGUUCCAUUAGGUAGUUGGUGAGGUAACGGCUCACCAAGCCGACGAUGGAUAGGGGAACUGAGAGGUUGGUCCCCCACACUGGUACUGAGACACGGACCAGACUCCUACGGGAGGCAGCAGUGAGGAAUAUUGGUCAAUGGGCGAGAGCCUGAACCAGCCAAGUCGCGUGAAGGAAGAAGGAUCUAUGGUUCGUAAACUUCUUUUGCAGGGGAAUAAAGUGCGGGACGUGUCCUGUUUUGUAUGUACCCUGAGAAUAAGGAUCGGCUAACUCCGUGCCAGCAGCCGCGGUAAUACGGAGGAUCCGAGCGUUAUCCGGAUUUAUUGGGUUUAAAGGGUGCGUAGGUGGUUUUAUAAGUCAGCGGUGAAAGUUUGCAGCUUAACUGUAAAAAUGCCGUUGAAACUGUAAGACUUGAGUGUAAAUGAGGUAGGCGGAAUGCGUGGUGUAGCGGUGAAAUGCAUAGAUAUCACGAAGAACUCCGAUUG
This 648-nucleotide ribosomal RNA is filed under the name uncultured Parabacteroides sp. RNAcentral describes it as "bacterial SSU rRNA". It matches the Rfam family "Bacterial small subunit ribosomal RNA", at positions 67 to 715 of the family's 1533-position model. Lineage: Bacteria; Pseudomonadati; Bacteroidota; Bacteroidia; Bacteroidales; Tannerellaceae. The record is from RNAcentral.